UACAGAGGUGGCAAGCGUUGUUCGGAUUUAUUGGGCGUAAAGGGUCCGUAGGCGGCCUGAAAAGUCGGAUGUGAAAGCCCACAGCUUAACUGUGGAAUGGCAUUCGAAACUCUCAGGCUCGAGUGUGAAAGGGGUAAAGGGAAUUCCCGGUGUAAGGGUGAAAUCUGCAGAGAUCGGGAAGAACACCAGUCGCGAAGGCGCUUUACUGGUUCACAACUGACGCUGAGGGACGAAAGCUAGGGGAG
RNAcentral lists this ribosomal RNA (245 nucleotides) under uncultured bacterium. Its description in RNAcentral is "partial 16S ribosomal RNA". It matches the Rfam family "Bacterial small subunit ribosomal RNA", at positions 524 to 768 of the family's 1533-position model. The record is from RNAcentral.